CCUACGGGUGGCUGCAGUGGGGAAUAUUGCACAAUGGGCGCAAGCCUGAUGCAGCCAUGCCGCGUGUGUGAAGAAGGCCUUCGGGCUGUAAAGCACUUUCAGCGGGGAGGAAGGCGUUAAGGUUAAUAACCUUGUCGAUUGACGUUACCCGCAGAAGAAGCACCGGCUAACUCCGUGCCAGCAGCCGCGGUAAUACGGAGGGUGCAAGCGUUAAUCGGAAUUACUGGGCGUAAAGCGCACGCAGGCGGUCUGUCAAGUCGGAUGUGAAAUCCCCGGGCUCAACCUGGGAACUGCAUUCGAAACUGGCAGGCUAGAGUCUUGUAGAGGGGGGUAGAAUUCCAGGGGUAGCGGUGAAAUGCGUAGAGAUCUGAGGAAUACCGGUGGCGAAGGCGGCCCCCUGGACAAAGACUGACGCUCAGGUGCGAAAGCGUGGGGAGCAAACAGGAUUAGAUACCCGAGUAGUC
RNAcentral lists this ribosomal RNA (464 nucleotides) under uncultured Klebsiella sp. RNAcentral describes it as "bacterial SSU rRNA". It matches the Rfam family "Bacterial small subunit ribosomal RNA", at positions 338 to 795 of the family's 1533-position model. Lineage: Bacteria; Pseudomonadati; Pseudomonadota; Gammaproteobacteria; Enterobacterales; Enterobacteriaceae. The record is from RNAcentral.